GGGAUGGGCUCUGGCUCAGUGGCAAAGUAUCUGCUUUGCAUGUAGAAGGUCCCAAGUUCUAUCCUCAGCAUUUCCA
This 76-nucleotide transfer RNA is filed under the name Sphaerodactylus townsendi. RNAcentral's name for it is "tRNA-Ala". The record is from RNAcentral. Lineage: Eukaryota; Metazoa; Chordata; Lepidosauria; Squamata; Sphaerodactylidae.